Molecule: long non-coding RNA, 524 nt
Filed under: Callithrix jacchus (white-tufted-ear marmoset)
Lineage: Eukaryota; Metazoa; Chordata; Mammalia; Primates; Cebidae
Description: lncRNA (ENSCJAG00000072871.1)
Source: RNAcentral
AAUAAUCAGAAAUUGUCUAAAUAUAUUGUAAGGCAGUAAGGGAGCCUGAGGCAUCCAAAUGUCUGAUCCUUGUCUCUGCAUUCUUUUUUUUUUUUUUUUUGCCCGAGAAUCCUGCCGUUGGUGAGCCAAAUUCCCUUAGGAAGAGAGAGCUUGUCUGGUGUGUUUCCUGUCAAGCAGCUGUGUGGGUGUUGGCUCAGCUCCCACAGAGCUCUCCUGGGAUCAGGAUUUCUCCUUUCCUAGCUGGUUCCUACUGCUAGGGGAGGAGAGGCUGGGAGGGGAGGACUGGGCUGUCUCCUGCUUCAGCCAACAAGGAGUCUCCUCCAGGCUGGAGUGCAGUGGCGUGAUCUUGGCUCACUGCCACUUCCACCUCCCGGGUUCAAGUGAUUCUCCUGCCUCACCUUGCUGAGUAGCUGAAACUACAGGUCUGGCACUCUACUGCUUCCUUAUCAACAAUGAAGCAAGAAAACCAGUGCAAGCCAGGAUGCAGUGGGUCAAGGCCUGGUUCUGUUGCCUUGUGAUUUCGG